AAAAAAAACAGACAAUCGAAUAAAAAAAACAAAACAAUAUUGCUAGAAAAUAUUUCAAUAAAAAUUAUGUUUAUAAAUAUGCACAUAUAAAUGUAAAUUAAACUACUCCAUACACAUACAAAAGAAUAUACAAUCACAUGCGUCUACUACUGUCAUUGGUAUAAAAGACUAAAGUAGUACUAUAGUAGUACUAAAGUAGUGCUAUAUUUCUCCAAGCCCCCCCCCC
This is a non-coding RNA of Biomphalaria pfeifferi, 226 nucleotides long. The record is from the annotation of a GenBank genome assembly. Lineage: Eukaryota; Metazoa; Mollusca; Gastropoda; Planorbidae.